CCUCUAGGGAAGAUGUGUAGGAAAAUCCGCACGCUGGCUUCAAUGCCGAUUCCGAGGAGAGCUAAAAGCUUUGGGUUCGCCCAGGGCUAUCAUACAAAGCACGCUUCCGAGAAAAACUUCUAAACUUAUGCAUAUAGAAUCCGUACCGCAAACCGACACAGGUGUUCAAGUCGAGUAGACUAAGACGAACGAGUGAGAGGUCUCCAAGGAACUCGGCAAAAAAAGCAGCCGUAACUUCGGAAUAAGGCUUGCCUCUCUUCAUUGAGAGGCCGCAGCUAAAGUAUCUCUGGCAACUGUUUAUCAAAAACACAGCUCCCUGCGAACUCGUAAGAGGAUGUAUAGGGGGUGACACUUGACCAAUGCCAGAAGGUCAAAUAUCGACGUUGCUUUGUCGCAAGAUGAAGUGGUGAUUGAUAUAAGCCCUGGUGAAUGUCGGCCGUAACUAUAACGGUCCUAAGGUAGCGAAAUUCCUUGUCGGGUAAGUUCCGACGCGCACGAAUAGUGUAAUGCCUGGAGAACUGUCUCGGAGACUUGCUCGGUGAAAAUACAGUAUCGGUGAAGAUGCCGAUUACCUGCAGUUAGACGAAAAGACCCUAGAAGCUUUACUGCAACUUGAUUUUGACUAUAUGUUUUUUAUGCGUAGCGUAGAUGGGAGGAUUUGAAGUUUAUCUCUCGGGGUAGAUGGAUCCGCAAGUGAAAUACCAUUCUUAAAAAAUAUAUAUUCUAACCUCGACGGCAAAAACGACGAGAGACAGAAUCUGGCGGGCAGUUUUAGUGGGGCGCUAUCCUCCUAAAAAGUAACGGAGGAGUUUAAAGGUCAGCUAGGCGCGAAUGGAAACCGUGCCGAUAGUGUAUAGGCAUAAGCUGGCUUGACUGUAAGACGUACUUGUCGAACAGAUGCGAAAGCAGAACUAAGUGAACCGACCUUUUGCAUUAGAUGCAGGGGAAGAUUAUCGGACAAAAGCUACUCUAGGGAUAACAGGCUGGUUGCGCCUAAGCGUUCCUAGCGACGGCGCAGUUCGGCACCUCGAUGUCGGCUCAACUUAUCCUGGAGGUGGAGAAGCUUCCAAGGGUUUGGCUGUUCGCCAAUUAAAAAGUUACGCGAGCUGGGUUCAGACCGUCGUGAGACAGGUUGGUCUCCUAUCUACUGCAGGCGUCGAUUCUUGAGGGGAUUUGACUCUAGUACGAGAGGACCGAGUUGAACUGACCUCUGGUCUGACUGCUGUCCUGCCAAGGGCACCGCAGUGUAGCUAUGUCGGGAACGGAUAAAUUCUGAAAGCAUCUAAGAAUGAAGCCGACCCCAAGAUUAAGAAUCGUUUGAGACCCCUGGGAGAUGACCAGGUUGAUAGGCUUUAGGUGUACGCAUCGUAAGGUGUUGAGCCGUGAAGUACUAAUCCGUC
This 1400-nucleotide ribosomal RNA is filed under the name metagenome. RNAcentral's name for it is "bacterial LSU rRNA". It matches the Rfam family "Bacterial large subunit ribosomal RNA", at positions 1516 to 2910 of the family's 2925-position model. The record is from RNAcentral.